RNAcentral lists this ribozyme (67 nucleotides) under unclassified sequences. RNAcentral describes it as "pistol ribozyme". It matches the Rfam family "Pistol ribozyme". The record is from RNAcentral.
ACUGGACAGAGUCAGUAUAAAUAGGCUUUAAGCUCUGAGCGUGACCAACUUCGGUUGGUCGGUAGUU